This 560-nucleotide ribosomal RNA is filed under the name uncultured Alphaproteobacteria bacterium. Its description in RNAcentral is "bacterial SSU rRNA". It matches the Rfam family "Bacterial small subunit ribosomal RNA", at positions 338 to 916 of the family's 1533-position model. Lineage: Bacteria; Pseudomonadati; Pseudomonadota; Alphaproteobacteria. The record is from RNAcentral.
CCUACGGGAGGCAGCAGUGGGGAAUCUUAGACAAUGGGSGCAASCCUGAUCUAGCCAUGCCGCGUGAGUGAUGAAGGCCUUAGGGUCGUAAAGCUCUUUCGCCWGGGAUGAUAAUGACAGUACCUGGUAAAGAAACCCCGGCUAACUCCGUGCCAGCAGCCGCGGUAAUACGGAGGGGGUUAGCGUUGUUCGGAAUUACUGGGCGUAAAGCGCGCGUAGGCGGAUUAGAAAGUUGGAGGUGAAAUCCCGGGGCUCAACCUCGGAACUGCCUCCAAAACUGCUAGUCUAGAGUUCGAGAGAGGUGAGUGGAAUUCCGAGUGUAGAGGUGAAAUUCGUAGAUAUUCGGAGGAACACCAGUGGCGAAGGCGGCUCACUGGCUCGAUACUGACGCUGAGGUGCGAAAGUGUGGGGAGCAAACAGGAUUAGAUACCCUGGUAGUCCACACCGUAAACGAUGAAUGCCAGUCGUCGGGUAGUAUACUAUUCGGUGACACACCUAACGGAUUAAGCAUUCCGCCUGGGGAGUACGGUCGCAAGAUUAAAACUCAAAGGAAUUGACGG